AUUAUGAGAGUUUGAUCCUGGCUCAGGACGAACGCUGGCGGCGUGCCUAAUACAUGCAAGUCGAACGCUUCUUUCCUCCCGAGUGCUUGCACUCAAUUGGAAAGAGGAGUGGCGGACGGGUGAGUAACACGUGGGUAACCUACCCAUCAGAGGGGGAUAACACUUGGAAACAGGUGCUAAUACCGCAUAACAGUUUAUGCCGCAUGGCAUAAGAGUGAAAGGCGCUUUCGGGUGUCGCUGAUGGAUGGACCCGCGGUGCAUUAGCUAGUUGGUGAGGUAACGGCUCACCAAGGCCACGAUGCAUAGCCGACCUGAGAGGGUGAUCGGCCACACUGGGACUGAGACACGGCCCAGACUCCUACGGGAGGCAGCAGUAGGGAAUCUUCGGCAAUGGACGAAAGUCUGACCGAGCAACGCCGCGUGAGUGAAGAAGGUUUUCGGAUCGUAAAACUCUGUUGUUAGAGAAGAACAAGGACGUUAGUAACUGAACGUCCCCUGACGGUAUCUAACCAGAAAGCCACGGCUAACUACGUGCCAGCAGCCGCGGUAAUACGUAGGUGGCAAGCGUUGUCCGGAUUUAUUGGGCGUAAAGCGAGCGCAGGCGGUUUCUUAAGUCUGAUGUGAAAGCCCCCGGCUCAACCGGGGAGGGUCAUUGGAAACUGGGAGACUUGAGUGCAGAAGAGGAGAGUGGAAUUCCAUGUGUAGCGGUGAAAUGCGUAGAUAUAUGGAGGAACACCAGUGGCGAAGGCGGCUCUCUGGUCUGUA
This 765-nucleotide ribosomal RNA is filed under the name Enterococcus faecalis. RNAcentral's name for it is "bacterial SSU rRNA". It matches the Rfam family "Bacterial small subunit ribosomal RNA", at positions 1 to 738 of the family's 1533-position model. Lineage: Bacteria; Bacillati; Bacillota; Bacilli; Lactobacillales; Enterococcaceae. The record is from RNAcentral.